GCCAGUGUGGUGUAGUGGUUUGAAUGUUGGGCUAUGACUCUGGAGAUUAGGGGUCGAUUCCCCACUCAAGCA
Phrynosoma platyrhinos (Desert horned lizard) is the source of this 72-nucleotide non-coding RNA. Lineage: Eukaryota; Metazoa; Chordata; Lepidosauria; Squamata; Phrynosomatidae. The record is from the annotation of a GenBank genome assembly.